UGCAGUCGAACGAGAAUGGCGGAGCUUGCUCUUCCAUGAAAGUGGCGCACGGGUGCGUAACGCGUAUGCAACCUACCUUCUUCAGGGGGAUAGCCUCUCGAAAGAGAGAUUAAAACCGCAUAACAUUGAGCUGUGGCAUCACAAAUCAAUCAAAUAUUUAUAGGAAGAAGAUGGGCAUGCGUGACAUUAGUUAGUUGGUGAGGUAACGGCUCACCAAGACCACGAUGUCUAGGGGAUCUGAGAGGAUGACCCCCCACACUGGUACUGAGACACGGACCAGACUCCUACGGGAGGCAGCAGUAAGGAAUAUUGGUCAAUGGGGGCAACCCUGAACCAGCCAUGCCGCGUGCAGGAAGACGGCCCUACGGGUUGUAAACUGCUUUUAUACCGGAAUAAUUCCCAUUACGUGUAAUGGGUUGAAUGUACGGUAAGAAUAAGGAUCGGCUAACUCCGUGCCAGCAGCCGCGGUAAUACGGAGGAUCCAAGCGUUAUCCGGAUUUAUUGGGUUUAAAGGGUGCGUAGGCGGCUUUUUAAGUCAGGGGUGAAAGACGGUGGCUCAACCAUCGCAGUGCCUUUGAUACUGAAGAGCUAGAUUAAACUUGAGGUAGGCGGAAUGUGACAAGUAGCGGUGAAAUGCAUAGAUAUGUCACAGAACACCGAUUGCGAAGGCAGCUUACUAAGGUUUUAAUGACGCUGAGGCACGAAAGCGUGGGGAUCAAACAGGAUUAGAUACCCUGGUAGUCCACGCCCUAAACGAUGAAUACUCGAUGUUAGCGAUAUACAGUUAGCGUCAAAGCGAAAGCGUUAAGUAUUCCACCUGGGGAGUACGCCCGCAAGGGUGAAACUCAAAGGAAUUGACGGGGGCCCGCACAAGCGGAGGAGCAUGUGGUUUAAUUCGAUGAUACGCGAGGAACCUUACCCGGGCUUGAA
Molecule: ribosomal RNA, 930 nt
Filed under: uncultured Sphingobacteriaceae bacterium
Lineage: Bacteria; Pseudomonadati; Bacteroidota; Sphingobacteriia; Sphingobacteriales; Sphingobacteriaceae
Description: bacterial SSU rRNA
Rfam family: Bacterial small subunit ribosomal RNA
Source: RNAcentral